Molecule: ribosomal RNA, 1525 nt
Filed under: Staphylococcus pseudintermedius
Lineage: Bacteria; Bacillati; Bacillota; Bacilli; Caryophanales; Staphylococcaceae
Description: bacterial SSU rRNA
Rfam family: Bacterial small subunit ribosomal RNA
Source: RNAcentral
UUUAUGGAGAGUUUGAUCCUGGCUCAGGAUGAACGCUGGCGGCGUGCCUAAUACAUGCAAGUCGAGCGAACAGAUAAGGAGCUUGCUCCUUUGACGUUAGCGGCGGACGGGUGAGUAACACGUGGGUAACCUACCUAUAAGAGUACACACCUUCCGGGGGCUAAUGCCGGAUAACAUGUUGAACCGCAUGGUUCUACAGUGAAAGACGGUCUUGCUGUCACUUAUAGAUGGACCCGCGCCGUAUUAGCUAGUUGGUGGGGUAACGGCCUACCAAGGCGACGAUACGUAGCCGACCUGAGAGGGUGAUCGGCCACACUGGAACUGAGACACGGUCCAGACUCCUACGGGGUGUAGGGAAUCUUCCGCAAUGGGCGAAAGCCUGACGGAGCAACGCCGCGUGAGUGAUGAAGGUCUUCGGAUCGUAAAGCUCUGUUGUUAGGGAAGAACAAAUGUGUAAGUAACUGUGCACAUCUUGACAGAUCGGAAGAGCACACGUCUGAGUUCAGACCUGUACUCCGUAGGUGGCAAGCGUUAUCCGGAAUUAUUGGGCGUAAAGCGCGCGUAGGCGGUUUUUUAAGUCUGAUGUGAAAGCCCACGGCUCAACCGUGGAGGGUCAUUGGAAACUGGAAAACUUGAGUGCAGAAGAGGAAAGUGGAAUUCCAUGUGUAGCGGUGAAAUGCGCAGAGAUAUGGAGGAACACCAGUGGCGAAGGCGGCUUUCUGGUCUGCAACUGACGCUGAUGUGCGAAAGCGUGGGGAUCAAACAGGAUUAGAUACCCUGGUAGUCCACGCCGUAAACGAUGAGUGCUAAGUGUUAGGGGGUUUCCGCCCCUUAGUGCUGCAGCUAACGCAUUAAGCACUCCGCCUGGGGAGUACGGUCGCAAGACUGAAACUCAAAGGAAUUGACGGGGACCCGCACAAGCGGUGGAGCAUGUGGUUUAAUUCGAAGCAACGCGAAGAACCUUACCAAAUCUUGACAUCCUUUGACCGCUCUAGAGAUAGAGUUUUCCUCUUCGGAGGACAAAGUGACAGGUGGUGCAUGGUUGUCGUCAGCUCGUGUCGUGAGAUGUUGGGUUAAGAGAUCGGAAGAGCGUCGUCCUUGAACAGUUGCCAUCAUUCAGUUGGGCACUCUAAGUUGACUGCCGGUGAAAAACCGGAGGAAGGUGGGGAUGACGUCAAAUCAUCAUCCCCUUAUGAUUUGGGCUACACACGUGCUACAAUGGACAAUACAAAGGGCAGCGAAACCGCGAGGUCAAGCAAAUCCCAUAAAGUUGUUCUCAGUUCGGAUUGUAGUCUGCAACUCGACUACAUGAAGCUGGAAUCGCUAGUAAUCGUAGAUCAGCAUGCUACGGUGAAUACGUUCCCGGGUCUUGUACACACCGCCCGUCACACCACGAGAGUUUGUAACACCCGAAGCCGGUGGAGUAACCAUUUUGGAGCUAGCCGUCGAAGGUGGGACAAAUGAUUGGGGUGAAGUCGUAACAAGGUAGCCGUAUCGGAAGGUGCGGCUGGAUCACCUCCUUUCU